CUUGCUGGGUGGAUUAGUGGCGAACGGGUGAGUAACACGUGAGUAACCUGCCCUUAACUCUGGGAUAAGCCUGGGAAACUGGGUCUAAUACCGGAUAGGAGCGUCCACCGCAUGGUGGGUGUUGGAAAGAUUUAUCGGUUUUGGAUGGACUCGCGGCCUAUCAGCUUGUUGGUGAGGUAAUGGCUCACCAAGGCGACGACGGGUAGCCGGCCUGAGAGGGUGACCGGCCACACUGGGACUGAGACACGGCCCAGACUCCUACGGGAGGCAGCAGUGGGGAAUAUUGCACAAUGGGCGAAAGCCUGAUGCAGCGACGCCGCGUGAGGGAUGACGGCCUUCGGGUUGUAAACCUCUUUCAGUAGGGAAGAAGCGAAAGUGACGGUACCUGCAGAAGAAGCACCGGCUAACUACGUGCCAGCAGCCGCGGUAAUACGUAGGGUGCGAGCGUUAUCCGGAAUUAUUGGGCGUAAAGAGCUCGUAGGCGGUUUGUCGCGUCUGUCGUGAAAGUCCGGGGCUUAACCCCGGAUCUGCGGUGGGUACGGGCAGACUAGAGUGCAGUAGGGGAGACUGGAAUUCCUGGUGUAGCGGUGGAAUGCGCAGAUAUCAGGAGGAACACCGAUGGCGAAGGCAGGUCUCUGGGCUGUAACUGACGCUGAGGAGCGAAAGCAUGGGGAGCGAACAGGAUUAGAUACCCUGGUAGUCCAUGCCGUAAACGUUGGGCACUAGGUGUGGGGACCAUUCCACGGUUUCCGCGCCGCAGCUAACGCAUUAAGUGCCCCGCCUGGGGAGUACGGCCGCAAGGCUAAAACUCAAAGGAAUUGACGGGGGCCCGCACAAGCGGCGGAGCAUGCGGAUUAAUUCGAUGCAACGCGAAGAACCUUACCAAGGCUUGACAUGUUCUCGAUCGCCGUAGAGAUACGGUUUCCCCUUUGGGGCGGGUUCACAGGUGGUGCAUGGUUGUCGUCAGCUCGUGUCGUGAGAUGUUGGGUUAAGUCCCGCAACGAGCGCAACCCUCGUUCCAUGUUGCCAGCACGUCC
Molecule: ribosomal RNA, 1037 nt
Filed under: Micrococcus luteus
Lineage: Bacteria; Bacillati; Actinomycetota; Actinomycetes; Micrococcales; Micrococcaceae
Description: bacterial SSU rRNA
Rfam family: Bacterial small subunit ribosomal RNA
Source: RNAcentral